Molecule: ribosomal RNA, 297 nt
Filed under: uncultured bacterium
Lineage: Bacteria
Description: partial 16S ribosomal RNA
Rfam family: Bacterial small subunit ribosomal RNA
Source: RNAcentral
UCCACGCCGUAAACGAUGGAUACUAGCUGUUGGAGGUAUCGACCCCUUCAGUAGCGAAGCUAACGCGUUAAGUAUCCCGCCUGUGGAGUACGGUCGCAAGACUAAAACAUAAAGGAAUUGACGGGGAGCCGCACAAGCGGUGGAUUAUGUUCUUUAAUUCGAUGAUAACCGAUGAACCUUACCAGGGUUUGACAUCCUUGGAAUUUUGCCGAAAGGCGAGAGUGCUUUAUUGAACCAAGUGACAGAUGAUGCAUGGCCGUCGUCAGCUCGUGUCGUGAGAUGUUUGGUUAAGUCCAU